UACGUAGGGUGCAAGCGUUGUCCGGAAUUAUUGGGCGUAAAGAGCUCGUAGGCGGUUUGUCGCGUCUGCUGUGAAAACUCGGGGCUUAACCUCGGGUCUGCAGUCGAUACGGGCAAACUAGAGUAUUGCAGGGGAGACUGGAAUUCCUGGUGUAGCGGUGAAAUGCGCAGAUAUCAGGAGGAACACCGGUGGCGAAGGCGGGUCUCUGGGCAAUAACUGACGCUGAGGAGCGAAAGCGUGGGGAGCGAACAGG
This 253-nucleotide ribosomal RNA is filed under the name uncultured bacterium. RNAcentral's name for it is "partial 16S ribosomal RNA". It matches the Rfam family "Bacterial small subunit ribosomal RNA", at positions 524 to 776 of the family's 1533-position model. The record is from RNAcentral.